This 254-nucleotide ribosomal RNA is filed under the name uncultured bacterium. Its description in RNAcentral is "partial 16S ribosomal RNA". It matches the Rfam family "Bacterial small subunit ribosomal RNA", at positions 524 to 776 of the family's 1533-position model. The record is from RNAcentral.
UACGGGGGAUGCAAGCGUUAUCCGGAUUUAUUGGGUUUAAAGGGUGCGUAGGCUGUGAGGUAAGUCAGCGGUGAAAUGCCCCCGCUCAACGGGGUGAAGUGCCAUUGAUACUGCCUUGCUGGAAUGCGGAUGCCGUGGGAGGAAUGUGUGGUGUAGCGGUGAAAUGCAUAGAUAUCACACAGAACACCGAUUGCGAAGGCAUCUCACGAAUCCGCGAUUGUCGCUGAUGCACGAAAGCGUGGGUAUCAAACAGG